Molecule: ribosomal RNA, 465 nt
Filed under: uncultured bacterium
Lineage: Bacteria
Description: partial 16S ribosomal RNA
Rfam family: Bacterial small subunit ribosomal RNA
Source: RNAcentral
GACGAACGCUGGCGGCGUGCUUAACACAUGCAAGUCGAACGGAAAGGCCCUGCUUGCAGGGUACUCGAGUGGCGAACGGGUGAGUAACACGUGGGUGAUCUGCCCUGCACUUCGGGAUAAGCCUGGGAAGCUGGGUCUAAUACCGGAUAGGAGCCAUUUUUAGUGUGAUGGUUGGAAAGCUUUUUCGGUGUAGGAUGAGCUCGCGGCCUAUCAGCUUGUUGGUGGGGUAAUGGCCUACCAAGGCGGCGACGGGUAGCCGGCCUGAGAGGGUGGACGGCCACAUUGGGACUGAGAUACGGCCCAGACUCCGACGGGAGGCAGCAGUGGGGAAUAUUGAACAAGGGGCGCAAGCCUGAUGCAGCGACGCCGCGUGGGGGAUGACGGCCUUCGGGUUGUAAACUCCUUUCGCUAGGGACGAAGCUUUUUGUGACGGUACCUAGAUAAGAAGCACCGGCUAACUACGUG